CCCUCUCUCCCUCUCUCCCCCUCUCUCCCUCUAUCUUUCUCUUCAAUGCUGAAAGAAUGGUUCUGAGUGGGUGCCAAUUUGAUAGAUUAAGUCACUGAAGGGCUAAUUGUUUUACAGAAACACCCAGGUUACAUAUUUUAUUUCUCCACAAUGAACUGCAUCCAGCAUAAACCUCUGUAUAAAUAAUUUUGUAAGUAACGGAAUGAAUUGCUUAUCAUUGUUUAACAAAACUAUUUAAUCUUUUAAAUAAUGGUCCAUCUGCAUUUCUGCUAGUACCUAAUUACAGUUUUUACAUUUUUAUAAUUUUUGUUAAUUUUUUGUUUAAACAAAAAAAAGAGAAUUUUAAAAAUAUUAUUUGCAUGACUGCCUGGGCUGAUUAUAAUUAUAGCAGCGUACCCAUUUGGUACACAAGAUGUUUGUUAUGUUUGUUGAUUAUUAGCUGUUUGCACCAGUUUUAAUUUGUUUCAUUGCUGUUGUUUCAAUUUUCCACCUCUUCAUCUGUUUGCUGUGUGUUCAUGAGCAGAGAGAUUGAUUGAUGUCGAGAAGACUGAGUGACAUACUUUGCAUGCAAUGCAGGGUCAAACUUCUCUGGGUACUUGGGUGAACGGUGCAGAUACAGUAUUUGCUACAUGUUAGCCUUGUGUAAUUUAGUUCCAUUGAAGUGACUGAUGGAAACGCAACUGUAUCUGUCUAAUUGCAUUUAGCACAAGAGGCUGAGGUGGAAUUCUCUCCCAUGCACUUCACUGGUUCAAGCUGGCCUCUGUGUAAGCCAGUGUCCAACACUCGCAAACUGUUAAUUGCAGAAGCCCUUUAUGUAGAGAUUUCUGUAACUGCAAACUCCUUCAACAACCAGAAAUAUCUUCCUCCAUUCCAUCAAUUACCAGCAGUGGGUUUUUUCACAUUGCAAUCGCUAGCUGGUUUAUACAGCAAUUUGAUUAGUUACCUUAAGUGUUAUAAGUCUGUUUCGGAAGGAAAUGGCUCUGAAAGAAAAAAAUAAUUAUAGUUCAAAUAUGAUGCAGGACAGUGCUCAGUGCAAUGAAGGACAUAAGAUGAUUUUUUAAAAAUGAACCUGACAUCAAUAUCACACAGAGCCAAGAACAAAUUAGUAUAAAUCUUGUCCCAUGAACACUUUUCACUAUGCCAGUCAUGGUCUAUAAAUCCGCUGAACCUUUUUCUUUAUAGCAGAACAAUACCCCGUCCAAGUAGCAAUUAGUGCUCAGCUUCUCAGCGGGAAUUCAUCAGCAAAUAACCUUCCUGAGAUCUUAAAAUAAAAUCCACAUUAUAUUCCUACAUGAAUGCAGAAUCAUCAUCACCAUCACCAAAGUAGAACUGAGCAUCAACCAUCGGCUUGCUAACACUCUAGUGAUCUGUCCUUUGUUUUUUACCUUCAUGGUGUCGCUAUUGGGGAAAAUAUCCAUUAAGCCAAACUGUACUUUGUGAACGCUAACCUACAGUUCACAUCGUAUAGUUCUUUAUGAGUAAAUAAUACUUGGUUUAAUUUUGCAAACCGGCCUCAUUAUACCUUGAUAUCCUAGCCUCUGAGUUGUCUCUGAGGUCCUGACUAAACUGUUAAUAUUAUUUAAUUUUAUAUAUCUUCCUUUGGAAGCUGCCUGAUCUUUACAAUAUUGUCAUUCUUGCAUACUUAAGCUUCUUUGUUGUAGUUGUAGUGUCAGAUACAGUAAAUAUAAUUGUGUCAGCACACCCCUAGCCUAAGAGACAAAGCUUAUUGUUCUAACCAGGAAAUCCUAUUUUGAACCUACAUGAUGGCACAGUCACAGAACCAGACUGGUUGGGAUGUUCAUUUUUUACAGUCUUGUUUGUACCGAGGGAAGUCGUAGGCUAAAAAUCCCUGCCAAAUGCCACAACUUGUCUAUUCUUUAGACGAGGUUUACUAUUUUGAUUUGGGUUCGUCCUGUGAGGCAGUGGAUUUUGUCUUUUGUAAGAAUUAGAUCUUACAGAUUUCUUACAGGCUUGAAAUGUUGGGAGCUGUUUCAUCUGGCUGGAGAAUGUAGAAUCUGUUAUCUUGUUCUUGGGAUCAAAGAUUGUCUUUUAAACCUAUAUCAUCUGCAAUCUUUCAGAUUCUCUCCCCUAAAUAGGUUAGUUUUCACAUAUACCUAAAUGUUCACCCAUGUCAUGCGUUUUCUGGGGAAAACAUCUAAUAUAAUAAAUUUGAGAUUUAUUUAGAAUG
Amblyraja radiata (thorny skate) is the source of this 2188-nucleotide long non-coding RNA. RefSeq lists it as uncharacterized. The record is from RefSeq and is a predicted model, not a curated record. The transcript is spliced from 2 exons. Lineage: Eukaryota; Metazoa; Chordata; Chondrichthyes; Rajiformes; Rajidae.